UACGUAGGGAGCAAGCGUUGUUCGGAUUUACUGGGCGUAAAGGGCGCGUAGGCGGCGCGGUAAGUCACUUGUGAAAUCUCUGAGCUUAACUCAGAACGGCCAAGUGAUACUGCAGUGCUAGAGUGCAGAAGGGGCAAUCGGAAUUCUUGGUGUAGCGGUGAAAUGCGUAGAUAUCAAGAGGAACACCAGUGGCGAAGGCGAGUCCCUGGACGAUACCUGACACUGAGGCACGAAAGCCAAGGGAGCAAACAGG
This 253-nucleotide ribosomal RNA is filed under the name uncultured bacterium. RNAcentral describes it as "partial 16S ribosomal RNA". It matches the Rfam family "Bacterial small subunit ribosomal RNA", at positions 524 to 776 of the family's 1533-position model. The record is from RNAcentral.